Molecule: long non-coding RNA, 2378 nt
Organism: Oncorhynchus nerka (sockeye salmon)
Lineage: Eukaryota; Metazoa; Chordata; Actinopteri; Salmoniformes; Salmonidae
Exons: 2
Source: RefSeq, a predicted model, not a curated record
UAGAAGGGGUGCUGUAAACGUUACUGUUUUCCUGUCGGGGUAGUUGCUGCCUAUGCUAGUUUCAAGUGCUAGUUUUCACAUUAUAAAGUGUGGGUGACAGUCUGUGAUUUAUAUUUAUUGAAAGUGGAUUACGCUGCUAAAGACAAACGUCACAACACGUUCUAAAUCGCUCGAGUGACACUUUUUUUCCCCAUUCACCAUUCAAUGUGAACAAGACAAAGGAGCUGAUCGUGGACUACAGGAAAAGACGGGAACGAACAGGCCCCCAUUAACGACAGGGCUGUAGUGGAGCGGGUUGAGAGUUCCAAGUUCCUUGGUGUCCACAUCACCAAUGAACUACCAGAUCCUCAAAAAGUUAUACAGCUGCAUCAUUGAGAGCAUUCUGACCAGUUGCAUCACAGCCUGGUAUGGUAACUGCUCUGCUGACCACACCGCUCACGUCGCGUGCGUGCUUCGCGUUGCAAAAUACAUUUCCACACGUUAUUCAAUCAUUGCACCCACACUGCUCGCUCAUGCCAACGAGCAUCUGUGUUGCCAGGCGCUAACAUAGAAGCUGCUUCUAUUUGUGAUGCAGAUCGCGCUGCAAAUCCUGCCUCUCCCAUCUCCUCAUUAGUUUAUAGAAGCAGAUACCCACACGCCAUCUCCUCAUUGGUUAUACCCACAUGGGUGAUUGAAAGAGGAACUGAGGUCGAUCAUCGUCAUGGUAAUACUAUUAGAUGCCAAUCGCCAUGUAAGGUCCAAAGAAGAAAAAGCCUGAAAGGAGGAGAGAUGACUAGAAACAAUUCGGUUGACUGUUUUAUUUGAUCCACAUGGUUGCUGGCUGCGCUUUGCUACCACCAAAGAUAUUGUGAAGAUUGUCCAUUAUUUAGUUUUUGUAAGAACCCAAAAAACAGAGGCAGUUGGAGAACCUAUUCAAAUAUGGAAAGCUGUGAAAGCCUGUUUCCAAAUGAAGAGAGAGGUCCCAAUGAAUAUCCUAAGAGACUAAUGGUAUAUCCUAAAUGCCAUGGGUUAUGUGUGUAGGCCUACCUAUGUUAGAAAAUGUUGUAUACAAAAAUACAGUUAAUCACUCACAAUGUAUAAACCUAUUACAAUUGGAGCAGGCCAGCCUUGCUGGAGGUCUGCAGGGUUAUAUUUCAGCCCAGCAAUAACACACCUGAUUCAACUCAAAUCAAAUCUAAUGAGUUGAUAAUCAAGUGUGCUAUUGCUGGGCUGGUAUAGAAGGCUCCUCACCCAGUAGAUUAGGGAUCAGUGGAGCAAAGUAGAUCAGUAGAUUAGGGAUCAGUGGAGCAAAGUAGAUCAGUAGAUUAGGGAUCAGUGGAGCAAGGUAGAUCAGUAGAUUGCUGGUAUAGAAGGCUCCUCACCCAGUAGAUUAGGGAUCAGUGGAGCAAAGUAGAUCAGUAGAUUAGGGAUCAGUGGAGCAAAGUAGAUCAGUAGAUUAGGGAUCAGUGGAGCAAGGUAGAUCAGUAGAUUAGGGAUCAGUGGAGCAAGGUAGAUCAGUAGAUUAGGGAUCAGUGGAGCAAGGUAGAUCAGUAGAUUAGGGAUCAGUGGAGCAAGGUAGAUCAGUAGAUUAGGGAUCAGUGGAGCAAGGUAGAUCAGUAGAUUAGGGAUCAGUGGAGCAAGGUAGAUCAGUAGAUUAGGGAUCAGUGGAGCGAGGUAGAUCAGUAGAUUAGGGAUCAGUGGAGCAAGGUAGAUUAGUAGAUUAGGGAUCAGUGGAGCAAGGUAGAUCAGUAGAUUAGGGAUCAGUGGAGCAAGGUAGAUCAGUAGAUUAGGGAUCAGUGGAGCGAGGUAGAUCAGUAGAUUAGGGAUCAGUGGAGCAAGGUAGAUCAGUAGAUUAGGGAUCAGUGGAGCAAGGUAGAUCAGUAGAGUAGGGAUCAGUGGAGCAAGGUAGAUCAGUAGAUUAGGAAUCAGUGGAGCAAGGUAGAUCAGUAGAUUAGGGAUCAGUGAAGCAAGGUAGAUCAGUAAAUUAGGGAUCAGUGGAGCGAGGUAGAUCAGUAGAUUAGGGAUCAGUGGAGCGAGGUAGAUCAGUAGAUUAGGGAUCAGUGGAGCGAGGUAGAUCAGUAGAUUAGGGAUCAGUGGAGCGAGGUAGAUCAGUAGAUUAGGGAUCAGUGGAGCAAGGUUGGCCACUGCUGGUAUGGAGUUUUUCUUUUUUACCUGAAAUAAAGUUUUUGUAAUAAUAGCCUACUUGUUACUGCUCAAUUAUCUAUUGUUGGUUAGACUAAAAUGUCUAAUCUUUACAUACGAGUUAGCUUAUUUGUACAUGUUGAAGUGACGAAGUGUUGAUUCUUUGAAGUGAAGUGUUUAUACUAUUAUUCAAAAUGAACUAGUGUCAAUGUUGAUGAAUCACCUAUCACAAUCCUGCAAUAAAGAGGGGAAGGGUU